UGAGGAAUAUUGCGCAAUGGGCGCAAGCCUGACGCAGCGACGCCGCGUGGGGGAUGAAGGGCUUCGGCUUGUAAACCCCUUUCGGGCGGGAAGACGGUCUCAUACCCAUGAGGCGGACGGUACCGCCAGAAGCAGCCACGGCUAACUUCGUGCCAGCAGCCGCGGUAAUACGAAGGUGGCAAGCGUUGUUCGGAUUUACUGGGCGUAAAGGGAGCGUAGGUGGUCGGGUAAGCCCCGCGGGAAAGCUCCAGGCUUAACCUGGAAAGGUCGCGGGGGACUGCUCGGCUAGAGGACGGGAGAGGAGCGCGGAAUUCCCGGUGUAGCGGUGAAAUGCGUAGAGAUCGGGAGGAAGGCCGGUGGCGAAGGCGGCGCUCUGGAACGGCCCUGACACUGAGGCUCGAAAGCGUGGGGAGCAAACAGG
This 421-nucleotide ribosomal RNA is filed under the name uncultured bacterium. RNAcentral describes it as "bacterial SSU rRNA". It matches the Rfam family "Bacterial small subunit ribosomal RNA", at positions 355 to 776 of the family's 1533-position model. The record is from RNAcentral.